This 86-nucleotide transfer RNA is filed under the name Bdellovibrionales bacterium. RNAcentral describes it as "tRNA-Leu". It matches the Rfam family "tRNA". From Rfam's summary of the family: Transfer RNA (tRNA) molecules are approximately 80 nucleotides in length. Their secondary structure includes four short double-helical elements and three loops (D, anti-codon, and T loops). RNAcentral also lists the same sequence under 2 other names. Lineage: Bacteria; Pseudomonadati; Bdellovibrionota; Bdellovibrionia; Bdellovibrionales. The record is from RNAcentral.
GCGCAAGUGGUGGAAUGGUAGACACGCUACCUUGAGGGGGUAGUGCCUGUAUGGGCGUGGAGGUUCAAGUCCUCUCUUGCGCACCA